GAGUUUGAUCCUGGCUCAGGACGAACGCUGGCGGCGCGCCUAACACAUGCAAGUCGAACGAGCGAGAGAGAGCUUGCUUUCUCGAGCGAGUGGCGAACGGGUGAGUAACGCGUGAGGAACCUGCCUCAAAGAGGGGGACAACAGUUGGAAACGACUGCUAAUACCGCAUAAGCCCACAGCUCGGCAUCGAGCAGAGGGAAAAGGAGCAAUCCGCUUUGAGAUGGCCUCGCGUCCGAUUAGCUAGUUGGUGAGGUAAUGGCCCACCAAGGCGACGAUCGGUAGCCGGACUGAGAGGUUGAACGGCCACAUUGGGACUGAGACACGGCCCAGACUCCUACGGGAGGCAGCAGUGGGGAAUAUUGCACAAUGGGGGAAACCCUGAUGCAGCGACGCCGCGUGGAGGAAGAAGGUCUUCGGAUUGUAAACUCCUGUUGUUGAGGAAGAUAAUGACGGUACUCAACAAGGAAGUGACGGCUAACUACGUGCCAGCAGCCGCGGUAAAACGUAGGUCACAAGCGUUGUCCGGAAUUACUGGGUGUAAAGGGAGCGCAGGCGGGAAGACAAGUUGGAAGUGAAAUCUAUGGGCUCAACCCAUAAACUGCUUUCAAAACUGUUUUUCUUGAGUAGUGCAGAGGUAGGCGGAAUUCCCGGUGUAGCGGUGGAAUGCGUAGAUAUCGGGAGGAACACCAGUGGCGAAGGCGGCUACUGGGCACCAACUGACGCUGAGGCUCGAAAGUGUGGGUAGCAAACAGGAUUAGAUACCCUGGUAGUCCACACCGUAAACGAUGAUUACUAGGUGUUGGAGGAUUGACCCCUUCAGUGCCGCAGUUAACACAAUAAGUAAUCCACCUGGGGAGUACGACCGCAAGGUUGAAACUCAAAGGAAUUGACGGGGGCCCGCACAAGCAGUGGAGUAUGUGGUUUAAUUCGACGCAACGCGAAGAACCUUACCAAGUCUUGACAUCCCUUGACGAACAUAGAAAUAUGUUUUCUCUUCGGAGCAAGGAGACAGGUGGUGCAUGGUUGUCGUCAGCUCGUGUCGUGAGAUGUUGGGUUAAGUCCCGCAACGAGCGCAACCCCUACUGUCAGUUACUACGCAAGAGGACUCUGGCAGGACUGCCGUUGACAAAACGGAGGAAGGUGGGGAUGACGUCAAAUCAUCAUGCCCUUUAUGACUUGGGCUACACACGUACUACAAUGGCGUUAAACAAAGAGAAGCAAGACCGCGAGGUGGAGCAAAACUCAGAAACAACGUCCCAGUUCGGACUGCAGGCUGCAACUCGCCUGCACGAAGUCGGAAUUGCUAGUAAUCGUGGAUCAGCAUGCCACGGUGAAUACGUUCCCGGGCCUUGUACACACCGCCCGUC
RNAcentral lists this ribosomal RNA (1367 nucleotides) under uncultured bacterium. RNAcentral's name for it is "bacterial SSU rRNA". It matches the Rfam family "Bacterial small subunit ribosomal RNA". The record is from RNAcentral.